AGAGUUUGAUCCUGGCUCAGGAUGAACGCUAGCGGCAGGCUUAACACAUGCAAGUCGAGGGGUAGAGGUUGCUUGCAACCUUGAGACCGGCGCACGGGUGCGUAACGCGUAUGCAACCUACCUUUUACAGAGGGAUAGCCCAGAGAAAUUUGGAUUAAUACCUCAUAGUAUAUAUCUUUCGCAUGUUAGGUAUAUUAAAGUUCCAACGGUAAAAGAUGGGCAUGCGUCCUAUUAGCUAGAUGGUAAGGUAACGGCUUACCAUGGCUACGAUAGGUAGGGGUCCUGAGAGGGAGAUCCCCCACACUGGUACUGAGACACGGACCAGACUCCUACGGGAGGCAGCAGUGAGGAAUAUUGGACAAUGGGCGCAAGCCUGAUCCAGCCAUGCCGCGUGCAGGAAGAAGCAUCUAUGGUGUGUAAACUGCUUUUGUACAGGAAGAAACAUCCCGACGUGUCGGGACUUGACGGUACUGUAAGAAUAAGGAUCGGCUAACUCCGUGCCAGCAGCCGCGGUAAUACGGAGGAUCCAAGCGUUAUCCGGAAUCAUUGGGUUUAAAGGGUCCGUAGGCGGUUUGGUAAGUCAGUGGUGAAAGCCCGCAGCUCAACUGUGGAACGGCCAUUGAUACUGCCAGACUUGAAUUACAAGGAAGUAACUAGAAUAUGUAGUGUAGCGGUGAAAUGCUUAGAUAUUACAUGGAAUACCAAUUGCGAAGGCAGGUUACUACUUGUGGAUUGACGCUGAUGGACGAAAGCGUGGGGAGCGAACAGGAUUAGAUACCCCGGUAGUCCAA
RNAcentral lists this ribosomal RNA (791 nucleotides) under uncultured bacterium. RNAcentral describes it as "bacterial SSU rRNA". It matches the Rfam family "Bacterial small subunit ribosomal RNA", at positions 8 to 798 of the family's 1533-position model. The record is from RNAcentral.